AGAAAUCAGACGGACAAAAUGUGUCUGACAGGUUAACACCUGACUGCUCUGUACCUUAUUUCCCUCCACUGCACAAUAUGUAGAUACUGCAGACCCAGCAUGCCACAUAAACAGUUGCUUAACAGACCUCAUCGAAUGAAUGAAUGCUAGCUGUCUCAAAGUGAACCCGGACAAAACAGAGUUACUCUUGGUGAGGGUCCCCCGAGCAUCAAAAUAUCCCACGAUAACCCAACUGGCCUGGAGCUUGGAGGCUCUGAACUCGUUAGUUCAGCAAAGGUACGAAACCUCGGAGUGCUGAUUGACGCUAGACUAUCUUUUAAACAGCAGAUUUCCUCCGUAAUAAAAUCUGCCUACUUUCAUCUGAAAAACAUAGCCAGGAUACAACACUUAAUUCCACCGGAUGAUAUGCCAACAUUAAUCCAUGCAUUUGUAUCCUCUAGGCUAGAUUACUGCAAUGCACUUUACUUGGGCCUCCCAAAAAAAGAACUCCAUCGCCUUCAGACAGUACAAAAUGCAGCAGCCAGACUAUUGACCAAUCAAACUCGCUCCUGCCACAUAACACCUGUUCUCCACUCCCUGCAUUGGCUUCCAAUUAAAUGGUGAACAUAUUUUAAAAUUGGCCUGCUGACCUUCAAAGCCUUAAACAACCAAGGCCCACAGUACCUGAAAGAGCUCCUGACACCCUACAUUCCAUCCCGUUCACUUAGGUCAGCCAACACAUCCUUCCUCUCAGUGCCUAGAAUAAGGACAAACUCAGGCUCCAGAGCAUUCUGCCACGCUGCCCCUACUUUCUGGAACUCUUUACCGUGCGCAAUCAGAGAGGCACCGUCCUUACAGACUUUUAACAAAAAGCUAAAGACCCACCUCUUCCAUCAGGCAUUCAGUCCGCUUAUCUGACCUUCAGAAACUCCUAACUUUUAUGUCUUAUGUUGGUAUAUUUGUAAAGUGCUUUGAGUCUCACAGGGAGAAAAGCGCUAUAUAAAUUGCCAAUUAUUAUUAUUAUUAUUAUCUUUUCCACUACUACAUGCAGGUGUUUCCCACCUUUUUCAAACUGACUGUUUAUGCUGUUUUCUUUCUUUAAAAUGGCAGUCUAGUCAAAAUUAAACUUUCAGGAUUCAGAUAGGGCAUGCAAUUUUAAAAGACUUUCCAAUUUACAUUUAUCAUUAAAUUUGUUUUGUUAUUUUGGAAUUAUUUGUUGAAAGCUAAACCUAUGUAGGCUCAUAUGCUAAAUUCUAAGGCCUUGAAGGCCUCCUCUUAUCUCACUGCAUUUUAACAGGUUUUUUUUACAACUAAACAGCGCUAGUUCAUGUGUGCCAUAUAGAUAAUAUUGUGCUCACUCCCGUGGAGUAGCUAGGAAUCAGCACUGAUCAGCUAAAAUGCAAGUCUGUCAAAAGAACUGAUAUAAGGGGGCAGUCUGCAGAGGCUUAGAUACAAGGUAAUUACAGAGGUAAAAAGUAUAUUAAUAUAUCUGUGCUUGUUAUUCAAAACUGGGGAAUAGGAGAUAAAGGGAUUAUGUAUAUUUCUAGACAAUACAAAUUCUGUAGUAGACUGCCCCUUUAAUUCUAUUUGCUGCUUUGAUUGGAGGAGCACAAUGUAGCUGAAGGAUGAAUUAGAAUUGCAUCAAACAUUAUAUUUGAUCUAUCUGUAUGUAUACAACAUUACAAAAUUGUAUCUUUAUGUCAUAUACUUUUUAGAAUAAAUACAGUGCUUUUUACAAUCUUGCAUUUUAGCCAAUCAGUGCUGGUUCUUGUAUAACCAUUCUCAACGGGAGUGAGCACAAUGUUCUCUAUAUGUCAUACAUUAACCAGCACCAUCUGGCUGUUAUGGCCCACAGAGACUAAGAAACAGGCAAACUUAGAGGUUGCAAUGUAUAUUAAAGGGACAGUCUACACCAGAAUUUUCAUUGUUUAAAAAGAGAUAAUCCCUUUAUUACUCAUUCCCAAGUUUUGCAUAACCAACACAGUUAUAUGAAUACAAUUUUUCCCUCUGUGAUUACCUUUUAUCUCAGCCUCUGCAGACUGACUCAUUAUUUCAGUUCUUUUGACAGACUUGCAUUUUAGCCAAUAAGUGCUGACUCCUAGGUAACUCUACAGACAUGGGCAUAAUGUUAUCCAUAUGGCACACUUGAACAAACACCCUCUGGUUGUGAUUUUUUUCAAAAUGCAUUCAGAUAAGAAGCAGCAUUCAAGGGGUAAGAAAUUAGCAUAUCAGCCUACCUAUGUUUAGCUUUCAACUAAGAAUACCAAGAGAACAAAGCAAAAUUUAUAAAAAAAAAAUAAAGUUGUUUAACAUUAUAUGCCCUAUCUGAAUCAUGAAAGUUUAUAUUUGACUAGACUGUCCCUUUAGUAUAACAAUGUUUGUUAUGCAAAGUUGGGGGAUGGGUAGUAAAGGCGUUAUCUAUCUUUUUAAACAACAACAAAAAUCAAGUAGCUGUCCCUUUAAGAGUUCAUUAUUCUCCAACAACUGGUAACAACCUCCCACUACUACUACUACCGAGAAUUAGUUUAUGUUGCUGCAUCUUGUUAACCUAGUCUUUCUAUAAAGAAUACUGCAGUAUUCAUAUUUUUCAUAUAGGUGGGGGUUUCAACAUGCAGACACAGCUAUCUCAAAUGACAACAUAAGGAUGAAUUAGUUAUUUGUAAAAAAAAAAUGGACUACAUCCUGGUAAAAAUUGAUCAUUUUUUACAAUGUAAUUUGAAUCAGGCUUUUCCCCAUCUUUUGUUAUCAGGUGGUUAAUGAGUUUUGUGGAUGAGUAAUUUUUUGGGUUGCAGCCAAAUGUUUCAACAUAACCUAACACAUCUAAAAGCUUUCUAUGCACAUCAUCUGGUGUGGCGUAAGUCACAGUGAAAAUUUGUCAUUAAUGAUCUUUUUAGUAAAAUAAAUUAUGAAAAAUUACUUUUUAAAUAUAAACAAUCAAUUGAUCAA
Bombina bombina (fire-bellied toad) is the source of this 2925-nucleotide long non-coding RNA. RefSeq lists it as uncharacterized. The transcript has 2 exons. The record is from RefSeq and is a predicted model, not a curated record. Lineage: Eukaryota; Metazoa; Chordata; Amphibia; Anura; Bombinatoridae.